Molecule: long non-coding RNA, 674 nt
Filed under: Nicotiana benthamiana
Lineage: Eukaryota; Viridiplantae; Streptophyta; Magnoliopsida; Solanales; Solanaceae
Description: long non-coding RNA (NBEN_LNC015350)
Source: RNAcentral
AUCAAGCCAAAAAAAUCAAAAAGAAGUUUGAGUAAUAAAAGUUUCUCUUCUCCAAAAUCUUUCUACUCUUUCAAAAUUCCCUUAGCCUAAAAGCCUCCCUCCAAAUACUAAUAGCAAUCCUCUUCCAACAGGCCCAUUGUUGAAAGAAGGCAUUGCAAAAAUUGCUGAUGCGCGUGAUUUUGUCUGAGUUUUUUUGGAAAUUGUACUAUUUUCCACUCAUUAGCUGGUUGUGUGAGGGAAUUUGAACCAUUUGGCAGAAUUGUUGAAGUUGAUUGUAAUGGAGAAGGAGAGUUUUGGAUGGUUUUUGGCAGUGGAGAGAAAGAACAAAUAUUUUUAUUAUGUUUAUGCUGGUCUCGAGCAUAUUCAAUCCUUCGUAAAGGAUUGUUUGCCUAUGGUUGCCAAUAAGAAUAUGAGUUUUUAAUGGCUGAUUUAGAGGCACUUCAACACAGAGCGGGGGAUAACGACCCCUGGCUGUUGAAGUAGUACAUGUAUCAAUAGUUAGUAGUUUCCGUAAUUUUAUUACCUACUCUUUGUAAGAUUUAAAAAUCAUAAAAUUCAGUAUGUAAUUUAGGCAGAUGCAACCAAAUUGCAGAAUAUUGUAACAUGGUUUCAGAUUCCAUGAACUUUAGCGUAUAUUGACGAACAGAUAGAAAAUGAUAUAAAACAAACCAAGG